Molecule: non-coding RNA, 25 nt
Filed under: Mus musculus (house mouse)
Lineage: Eukaryota; Metazoa; Chordata; Mammalia; Rodentia; Muridae
Source: RNAcentral
UAAUAGAGACGGUGGAAGGAGUCAC